Molecule: transfer RNA, 75 nt
Filed under: Candidatus Veblenbacteria bacterium RIFOXYA2_FULL_43_9
Lineage: Bacteria; Candidatus Vebleniibacteriota
Also listed under: 5 other names
Description: tRNA-Arg
Rfam family: tRNA
About the family: Transfer RNA (tRNA) molecules are approximately 80 nucleotides in length. Their secondary structure includes four short double-helical elements and three loops (D, anti-codon, and T loops).
Source: RNAcentral
GCCCUCGUAGUUCAAUGGAUAGAAUGCGAGCUUGCGGAGCUUGUGAUGCAGGUUCGAUUCCUGCCGGGGGCACCA